GAUGAACGCUGGCGGCGUGCCUAAUACAUGCAAGUCGAGCGAACGGACGAGAAGCUUGCUUCUCUGAUGUUAGCGGCGGACGGGUGAGUAACACGUGGAUAACCUACCUAUAAGACUGGGAUAACUUCGGGAAACCGGAGCUAAUACCGGAUAAUAUUAUGAACCGCAUGGUUCAAAAGUGAAAGACGGUCUUGCUGUCACUUAUAGAUGGAUCCGCGCUGCAUUAGCUAGUUGGUAAGGUAACGGCUUACCAAGGCAACGAUGCAUAGCCGACCUGAGAGGGUGAUCGGCCACACUGGAACUGAGACACGGUCCAGACUCCUACGGGAGGCAGCAGUAGGGAAUCUUCCGCAAAGGGCGAAAGCCUGACGGAGCAACGCCGCGUGAGUGAUGAAGGUCUUCGGAUCGUAAAACUCUGUUAUUAGGGAAGAACAGAUGUGUAAGUAACUGUGCACAUCUUGACGGUACCUAAUCAGAAAGCCACGGCUAACUACGUG
RNAcentral lists this ribosomal RNA (497 nucleotides) under uncultured bacterium. RNAcentral's name for it is "partial 16S ribosomal RNA". It matches the Rfam family "Bacterial small subunit ribosomal RNA", at positions 28 to 507 of the family's 1533-position model. The record is from RNAcentral.